UCUUCCGUUCCCUGCAGCAAAAAACAAUCCCAGUGUUGGCAUAUACACAGUGGUAGUCAAAGCAGACAAGUGUUUAUAGAAACAAAGGCAGUCAUUCAUAAUAUUACGCUUGGCGUCGCCGACGGAAAGCCAUUCAAAUCAGAAUUGCCGCCAAUCGAUCACUUCGAUAUUGCAGUUCAAUAUGGCUUUGGAGCUUCGGUCGACGAUAAUUGAUUCAAGGUCAUUAAUGAGUCAGCUGUUUCGGGUGUACGCGCUUCAGUUGACCACGUAUGAUACAUCUACGUGAAGAUCGGACUUCAUCCCGGAUGAGAGGACGCUGGGCGAAGCUGGAAAUGCAUAAAGGAUGGAUUUGUGGCCGACUGACAUUUAGUUCCAGGAAUAAAGUUGCAUUUUUGUAAAUAUUUCUACCAAAUUUACAUAACAAACCCAAUAUCCAAACGGAGCCUGGAACAAAAGUUCAUCAUGUAAUACAUAAUAAAUAGUUAAAAAUCCAAAACAAACCCUUGUGAAAAUAUCUAGAGCUGUUGCAAGCUGGAUUUUCAUUAUGGACUCUACACUUUACAAUAGAAGCGACAAAACCCUUUCCACAUCCAUAAGAAAUCUCUGCUAAAAGCAGAGUCGAUUGUACAAUAUGUAUUUGAUUCAAAGUAUUCUAGACUUGA
Haliotis rubra (blacklip abalone) is the source of this 662-nucleotide long non-coding RNA. RefSeq lists it as uncharacterized. Lineage: Eukaryota; Metazoa; Mollusca; Gastropoda; Lepetellida; Haliotidae. The record is from RefSeq and is a predicted model, not a curated record. The transcript is spliced from 2 exons.